This is a long non-coding RNA of Myiozetetes cayanensis, 172 nucleotides long. RefSeq lists it as uncharacterized. NCBI's taxonomy places the organism in Eukaryota, Metazoa, Chordata, Aves, Passeriformes, Tyrannidae. The transcript is spliced from 4 exons. The record is from RefSeq and is a predicted model, not a curated record.
UGGGACAGGUGAGAUGGGACAUGGACAGGUGAGAUGGGACAGGUGAGAUGGGACAGGUGAGAUGGGAUGGGACAGGUGAGAUGGGACAUGGACAGGUGAGAUGGGACAGGUGAGAUGGGACAGGUGAGAUGGGACAGGUGAGAUGGGACAUGGACAGGUGAGAUGGGACAGG